AUGGAUCCCACGGCGCCGCAGCGCGGCACCAAGCGCCCCCUGCCCGCGACCGCCGCCGGGGACGAUGACGAUGACCGCUCCGCUCUCGGGGACCGCAAGGUGCGGUUCCCCAAGGGGAAGAAGGCCAAGUACCGCGACCCUGCUGCCGCUGGCAGCAGCGGGGAGGGGGGCGCCGCCGCGGACGACAUCGACGAGCUGAUGAACCCCGAGCUCGCGGCGGUGAAGCGAGCGCGACGGCGCCACCGCAGGGAAGGGGACGACACGCAGGGCACCGCCAACGUCAAGGGUUUCGAAAUGCGCUACAAGGACGACGCCAACUUUAUCGAUGAUGGUAUUGAGAUAGAACCUUUUAACUUGGAGCAAGAGAGGGAAGAAGGAUACUUUGAUGAAAAUGGGAAUUUUGUGGAGUUUGCAAGAGGCAACGAUAUGAAGGAUGCCUGGUUGGAUAAUGUUGAAGUAGACACCAAAUUUGCUGGAAAGGUUCAAAAGAAAAAAGACAAAGAAGAGGAGUUCCAGGACCUUUCUUCUGAUGAUAUUGGAAAGAUAAAAAGGAGAAUAGCAAACAUGCUUGAACCAGCAGAAACGAUAAUUCAGGCUUUGAAACGAUUGAAGAGUACAUCUACUGACAAUCGUGGAAGAAUGACUGAGGGGACCAAGCGCAUAUUUGAUGAGCUGACAGAAGCUGCCAUGAAGCUAAUGGAGAAUGGGGAGUACAAUGUAUAUUCAGAUGAUCAGGAGACAUUUGUACGCGAGGCUGAGGGUUAUGAACGUCUAGCACGUUCUCGACUUGGCAUACCAGAAGUUGAAGAAGAUAUAUUUGCAGACGCCACAGAGAGUGGCCCAACUACCACGUCCUUACUGGAGAUGGACAGUGGUCCUUCAGCUGCUAAUACCUCUGCGACAACUGCUAUAGCAAAUGAUGAUGAUAGUAACUUUGACAUGUUCGGUGAAAAUGACGACACUGAUGUCAAUCCUGAUUCUGAUGCAAAAACUUUAGAUUCAGAUUGCAAUCCCGAGCCAGUACCACAAGAGGCUUCUGGAACCUCAGGUGCUGAAAAGGUUGGUAAUGGAAGUGCGGACUCAGAUUAUGUCUACGAUCCAUCGUCAGGUUACUAUUACAGCAGCAGGACAGGCUAUUACUAUGAUGCUGCAUCUGGGUGUUAUUGCGCUGCAUCUACAGGAACCUGGUACUCAUAUGACGAACAAUCAGGCACAUACACAGAAAUGCACGGGGAACAAACCGGCAUGCACAAAGAAAUAGAGGGAGAGGUGGUCAAGGAGUAG
RNAcentral lists this ribosomal RNA (1284 nucleotides) under Triticum aestivum (bread wheat). RNAcentral describes it as "partial small subunit ribosomal RNA". The record is from RNAcentral. Lineage: Eukaryota; Viridiplantae; Streptophyta; Magnoliopsida; Poales; Poaceae.